This 253-nucleotide ribosomal RNA is filed under the name uncultured bacterium. RNAcentral's name for it is "partial 16S ribosomal RNA". It matches the Rfam family "Bacterial small subunit ribosomal RNA", at positions 524 to 776 of the family's 1533-position model. The record is from RNAcentral.
UACGGAGGGUGCAAGCGUUAUCCGGAUUCACUGGGUUUAAAGGGUGCGUAGGUGGGUUGAUAAGUCAGUGGUGAAAUCCCCGAGCUUAACUUGGGAACUGCCAUUGAUACUAUUGAUCUUGAAUACCGUGGAGGUCAGCGGAAUAUGUCAUGUAGCGGUGAAAUGCGUAGAUAUCGUUUGGAACGCCGAUGGUGAAAACAGGUCGCUGGGGUUGUGCUGACGCUGAGACACGAAAGCCAGGGGAGCGAACGGG